UGGUUGCUAUAAAAUAAAAAAAUAAAACCAUCAGCAUGAUUUAAAAAAGGACAAUGCUUGGCUCCUAAUAUAUCAGGAGCCAUUCCUCCUCAACGGCUAACAUGACUUCUUUAAAAAACAACACUUGUUUUUUUUUUCUCUCAACCCCUUUAACUCAAGUCUUUUGCUGGUUUUUUUAUCUUGGGUGAGUUAAGGAGAGAGAGACGAAGGCGGGGGAGGGUGACUUGCAGGUUUUUUUUCUUUUAAAAAAUAAAAAGAAUUUUCAUGGUUGUUGAAGAUAGGAGGAGGAGAGGGAGAAGGAGAAGGAGGAGAAAACUUACAUGCUAAAUAGAGUUGAAACCAAAAAAAUUUGCCCGUGCCGUUCUAGCCACACCAAGUUAGGCUAAAGUGGAAAAAAAAAAAAAAUGGCCAGAGACACCAUACUAAGCCAGCCAAAAUGGAAAUAAAAUGAAGAUCUAUCUUCAGUUGAUAUGAGGAUCGUGGAAAAAAAAAAUGGAAAAAAGGUUGUCUUUAUUUCAUCAAAUUUCCUAAAUUAUAAGUUGGAAAAAGAAAGAAAGAAAAAACAGCAAGACAGAGGAAGAAAGAAGAAGGGAAAAACAAAAGAAAUGGUUGAAGGACGAAAGAGGGUAAUAACCACCUGGCGGAGAGAGGAGGAAGAACGUUUUAAUAUUUUACUAUUUUAACCUAUACAUUAUAUCUAUUUCUUAUAAUAAUUUUACAUUACAAGGCACCGCCCCUGCCUUCGUCUUUUCCCGCUUAAAACUAACCCAAGUUAAAGAAAACCAACAAAAAAAACUUGAGUUAAAGGAGGUUUUUUUUUUUAAAAAAAAAAUUUUAAAUUUUAUUUUUUAAAAUCUUUUCUAUUGAAAGAGGCGUAGUAUAUUAAACUCACACACACAACACGGAUGCUAGAACUCUAACUCAGG
This 926-nucleotide long non-coding RNA is filed under the name Prunus persica (peach). Its description in RNAcentral is "long non-coding RNA (PPER_LNC003884)". The record is from RNAcentral. Lineage: Eukaryota; Viridiplantae; Streptophyta; Magnoliopsida; Rosales; Rosaceae.